UGGUGAGCAGCACAGAAGUGAAUGUAGUUAGAUGUAACUUGACGAAAUCACACAUUUGGAUGUCGGACGAUUUGCAUUGGGAGGUUAGUGCUUUGCAUGUGUACUCGCUGUCUGGGAACAGAUCAGAAGUGGAUAAGUUAUGCAGACGUGACAGAUGUCUCUACUGCAGCACAGGAGGCAGGAGAGAGGGAGGGAGAACGAACAAGAGAGAAAACAGCCAUCCAAUCAGUUUUUGAUUAAAAAGAAGAGUGAACAGAGUGCCAUUGCCAGUCCCUGGGUGAAACAAAAUCUACAGAAGCAUAUUUUGAAGAGGCUGGACAAAGCUACAGUUACAACUGAAAGUUACCUCAGAGAGCCAAGUCAGGAUCCACACCAUUUCCAAUGUGUAUCCAGUAUACCUGAUUCUUACAAUUCUGAGGAGGACAAUCAAUUACGAAGAAUAGUCUCAGAGCCAGUUCUGAAGUUGCGGCCAAAGAGAAGUGUGCUGGGCAGACAGAACCCACUGCAGCAUAAAACAAGUGUGCCCCCUACUGCCCGAGUAUCUGACGCCAUGGGUGCUUCUCCCAGCUCUGUUUCAGUGUCCAUGGGGAGUUCAACACCAGACAAACAAUUGAAUAUCCUUCUAGAUCAACAGACCUAUGGCGCACCAAUUUCAAAAGAGGCAGAAUCUCCUUCGCACAUUGGCGUCCAGAACGCCUUCCUUUUGCAUAGUGUGCCACAAGUUUGGGCUGCCUCCCCUCAUCUGCAGCAACAUCCCCAUGUUCUUGCAGUGCAUCCACAUGUUCUUGCAGUUCCUGUGCCAUGUGCAGUGAUGCCCCAUAGGCCUUUGGCCAAAAGCCAUUCAGCACCUUUUAUCCAGCAAAACACACACAUACAUGGACAGAGUCUUACAUUUACACAACUUUCAUACCAACAGCCCAACUCCUUGUCACAGGAGAGAAGCCAGCAACACACUCUUCCAAAAAAGGUGCUUGUUCGCAAAGUGUGGUCCAUGUCUCCUGAAGAGUUGCGUGAAAAGAAGAGCGUUGAGGAAGAGAAUGCAAAAAAAAUGCAUGAAUCACCAUUUGACAGCAAUUGCAGUAAUCGACUGGGAGCACAGAGCCUCAGAGAUCAUAAUGACCAGCCAAACACAAUGACUCACCUGAACCUUAAGCGUGUUUAUUCCUCUCCAGGCUACUACACUUAUCAAAGAACUCAGCCCUCGUGCUUAACCUCAUCUCUGUCCCGUCGGAGUAUCAGGAACAAACCAAACUGCACCACGGGCUUGGUGUAUGAGUGUGACUGUGGAGACAACAGCCAUCACCCUGAGCAUGCUGACAGAAUUAAGAGUAUCUGGUCAAGAUUGCAAGAGUGUGGCCUCAAGAAUCAGUGUGAGAGGGUUAAGUGCAGAUUUGCCACUUUUAAUGAACUACAAUCAGUCCAUUCAGAGAAACAUGGUAUUCUUUUCUCUGAGCUCUCAGAAACACAUUUGCCCAACCACAGGGAUGUGUUUUGGACACAACCAUGUGGAGGAAUGGGGAGGGAUCUUGAUAUGGUAUGGAAUAGCAUCUCCAGCAUAACAGCACUUAAUAUGGCAGUUGGCAGUGUGAUUGAGCUGGCCCUGCGUGUGGCUAAGCGAGAAUUAAGGAAUGGGUUUGCUGUGGUCAGGCCUCAAGGACAUCAUGCACCACACUCUCAGGCACAUGACUUUAGUAUCUUUAACUCUGUGGCCAUUGCUGCUAAACAGCUUCAGGACAGAUUGAACGUUAAAAAGAUCCUUAUAGUGGAUUGGGAUGUUCAUCAUGGUAAUGGAACUGAGAAAAUGUUUGAAACAGAUCCUCGUGUCCUUUAUAUAUCGCUGCAUCGCUAUGACAAUGGCUCUUUCUUCCCUGGUACUGGAGGACCCCUCAUGGUAGGAUCUGAUGUAGGUGAAGGCUACAACGUAAAUGUGGCCUGGUCAGGAGGGCUGAAUCCUCCAAUGGGAGAUGCAGAAUACCUAGCUGCUUUCAGAACAGUAGUUAUGCCAAUUGCUCAUGAGUUUUCUCCUGAUGUGGUCCUGGUUUCAGCUGGUUUUGAUGCUGUUGAGGGUCACCCAGCUGCUGUGGGUGGAUACAAUGUCUCAGCUAAAUGUUUUGGAGUCCUGACCCAGAAGUUAAUGGAGUUGGCUGAAGGUCGUGUAGUGUUGGUGUUAGAGGGAGGUUAUGAUCUCUCUGCUCUCUGUGAUGCAUCCCAGGCCUGUGUCAAUGCUCUUGUGGGAAAUGAGCCUGAACCUCUAGCUUUAGAAGAAUUACAGAGGAUACCCUGUCCUAAUGCGGUUGACUCUUUGAAGACAGUACUGCGUGUACAGAGCCGGUACUGGAGUUCAGUGAGGGCUAUGCUAGACACAGUGUCACUGCCAUAUGUAAAAGCAGAGAGGAGAUACUCAGCGGGCAGUGACGCUGCUUCAGCCCUGAAUGACCUCACUAUGACUGUUUCAAGCAGAAGCCGUUUCCCAAAUGAGCCAACAGAGCAUGAUGAAGAUGAUUUCAUGUAGGAGCCAGACACUGUUUCUCCUCAUUCUACGCUGGAAGACUUCAUAUUCCAUUCCGAACAGAGAACGGACAACCAGUGCUAUAGAGUCCUGAAGUUAAUAGCGUAAAUGCGGUGUUGUGUAUAGGACAGGAGACAAUCCAUAACAACUGUAGUCAAAGAAGUAGACAUAACACACUCUCUGAUGAACAAGAGAGCUUCAAUGUCAUGUCACAUGUAAUCAAAUCUCGUGAGUUAUGUUAGUCAAACGCUGAGUCAUUUUUGCUAAACGGACAGGAUUUUGCCAUUUUAGCUUAAGUUGCACAUGAACCCUAAAGGCAAUUUCAAGCAAGGAUAUCAUGUAGAAAGGAAGUGAAAAUUUGUGAGGCAUUAAGUGAAAUGUUUUGUCCCACACAGGUCUUUUCCAAACUGACAGUUAAAAAAAGUACUUCUGUUACUCUGAGAUACUGUUAGUUUUCUAUUCUAGCAGUCUUUGAAAGUAUUAAUCAGUCCACGAUGCUUUAAAAUGGUCUUAAAAAUAUAUAUAAUUAAGUUUUUGUUAAUUGCACUUUACAUUCAUUAAUCAUUACAAAAAUCCUGAGAGUUUUUACAUUGUGGUUAAGCUCAGUUUUAUUGUCAAAUAUUUUUAAAGAUUCUCCAUCCAGGCUUUCUUAAAUCAAAACAUGUUCUGAAACUGCUGUUGUUAAAACAUUGAUGGCUUUUCCUGAAAUAAUUAAGGAUGCUAUCAAUGUAAGUUAUCAAUCCUUUGAGCGCAAAGUACUUUGCACUCUGCUACAGUAUGUCAAUUUAAAAGGCCAGGUAGUCCUUGACUUACAGUACCUGUCAAAAGUUUGGAAAUAUUGUACUGAUUGCAUAUUUCUCUUGUUCUUGAAAACCAUUUGCACUUUCGUUGUGUCUAUGUAUACAUUUCUUUACUAAACAAGAUUUUAAAUGUAAGAAAAUAAAAUAUUUUUAAAUGCAUGCGUUGGACCUAAAAAUAAAGGACAAGCAGUCAACAAGUUUCCAGCAUACAUAGGAAAUGUUGUUUCAGUUUUGAUAACUGUAAUAAUUUUCUCAAAUGUGGGAAAUAGUCAAAAAUAAAGAAUGAGUAGGCAUGUCCAAACAUUUUUGGGACUGUAUCUUAGGUCACUCACAUAAUAAGGGUUUUCAUUUUCUUUUAUUAACGUUAAUUGUUGAGCUACAAAAACAGUUUAAAGCUAUUUUUUGUGUGUGAAAUGUUAUUAACAUACAAAGAAUUCCUCUUGUUUGUUACAUAAUAUUUUUAAUAUAUCAUUCAAAAGUUUUUAAAUGUUUUUACAUUGUCAGUUCCUUUUACUGUUCAGGAUUAAAAUAAAGCCAUGUUGUUACUUUUUCAAACAUUUUAUUGAAAUCAAAUCAACAGUGAUGUGUAACAAUGUGUCUGAAGAGUCCCAAAGGGAAUACUGGACUCCCAUAUAAGCUUCAGAAGACAUGAAGUGCAUCCCAAACCACUCACUUCUGCACUAAUCUACAUCCUUUUGUAGUGUUAGUAGUGCGAGGAGUAUGUUAACAUUGAAAAUGCACAAAAAGAAGUUUCCUAUGAGCACCCGGAUGAUGUACUUCUUCAACAGUCAAAACAAAGUGUGGAAUGUUGGACACUUAAUACACUCAGUGUUUGCGGCUUGCCUUACGUAGUGGAAGGGGCGGAGUUACCUGGUUGCAAAGCUGGUCUGAAAACACAUUUGUAAAUAAUGGAGAAUGUAGCAACCAGCGAAACUUAAGUGAAGACAACACCUUACAAAUGUGAGUUGAAUGCUUUACCAUCACACCACACUGUGUGAAUAUGAACGUUGUUUGAGAUACAAGUGUUAAACUGAGGUUAGCUAACGCACUAAAGCUAGUGUUAAAACAUUGAAUGCGUUUGAAAUGUUACUUCCUUCAGCUGUUAAUUGGCGAAUGCUUUAGUGUAGUAAAAAAAACGUGCGAUCCAUUUGAUCGAGUGCGUAGUGUAUAUUGUAAGUGCAAUUUUUGACCAGUGUUACACAAGUUACUCAAAAUAAGUAAUCCACUACAAGUUACUUGUAUACAAAUGUAAUCAGAUUACUUUAAUGUUACUUCAUAUAAAAGUAAUCACAUUACUAAUUAUUUUACUUUUAAGUUACUUUCUAAAUCUCUUUUCCUAAAAAGUUAUUGGUUUUUCACUCAAAAUCAAAAUAUCUAUAUUUCCUUCUCAUUCAUUGUCACACCCUUCAGCUGUCACAGAAACACUAACAGACGUACAUAUGAUUUCAUAUUUGAAAUGUACUAAACAAUAAACAUUACUUUAGCACAAGUAAUUUACUUAAACGUAAUUACUUUCAUUGAAAGUCAGUAACUGUAAUCAGAUUACAAGAAUUUAAAAUGUAAUGUAUUACAUUACUUUUCUUGACUAAAAAGUAAUUAGAGUACAGUACAGUAACUAAUUACUUUGUCAUUGAAUACACCAACACUGUUUGGGACACAAUCGAGUUUUUCAUGCUGCCUUUAUGUUCUUUUUGGAGCUUGAAGGUUUUGGGAACAAAAACACCUCAUGCAUCCUUCAAAUUAUCUUUGUUUGUGUUCCAGAGAAGAAAGAAAGUCAUACGAGUUUGAGUCAGCAUGAGGUUGAAUGGAUAAGAGAAUUUCAAUUUUUUGGGUGAACUAUUUCUUUAAAUAAUCUCUGCUUAAAAACAAAGACUUCUUGAGACACUCAGCAAAAUAGA
Myxocyprinus asiaticus (Chinese sucker) is the source of this 5207-nucleotide RNA transcript. It is a transcript of the gene named histone deacetylase 7-like, with no coding region annotated. The transcript is spliced from 24 exons. The record is from RefSeq and is a predicted model, not a curated record. NCBI's taxonomy places the organism in Eukaryota, Metazoa, Chordata, Actinopteri, Cypriniformes, Catostomidae.